UCUGAUGAGAAAGAAGAAGAGGAAGAGGAUGUUGCACCAUCUCCUAAAGCUCAGAAGCUAAUGGGAGAUGCAAUCAAGUCAGGGGCUGCUCCAUCUAAGCCCAAAGCUGCUCCCAAGGCUGCUGCUCCAGCACCAAAGCCUAAACCCAAGAGGAACACCAGAAAUAUUCAUGCAUCUGAGAAGAACAAGGCCCCAGUGCCUGAAGCUGCUCAAGAAGAUGAUGAUUCUCUUGUUUUGAGAAAAUCGAAGCCCAAGAUUCCUGAUCACAAUGAUGCUCAUCCAGUUGCUGAGGAAAUGCAUAUCAGAAAGGAUGCUGGACUGAGAUUGUGGAGAUAA
Molecule: ribosomal RNA, 336 nt
Filed under: Triticum aestivum (bread wheat)
Lineage: Eukaryota; Viridiplantae; Streptophyta; Magnoliopsida; Poales; Poaceae
Description: partial small subunit ribosomal RNA
Source: RNAcentral